GAGAGUGUCCCUCGGUAGCCAAAGUUUACUCUUUCACCACUAGAUAGCUAAGCCAUUAUUUUUUCGCCUAAAAACAAUAGCUUUUGGACUGUCAAUUCAGUAAGCCAUUGUUUCACUGCUGGUUAUAUUUGUCAAGGAAACUUGCAAAGUAAAGGUUCCGUGUACGGUAAGGUACUAUCUUCAUGUUCUGCGUGAGAUAAAUAAAUCUCAUGUUGACAAACGACGAC
This 227-nucleotide long non-coding RNA is filed under the name Musa acuminata (dwarf banana). RNAcentral describes it as "long non-coding RNA (MACU_LNC003437)". Lineage: Eukaryota; Viridiplantae; Streptophyta; Magnoliopsida; Zingiberales; Musaceae. The record is from RNAcentral.